AAUUUUGGACAAUGGGGGAAACCCUGAUACAGCCAUCCCGCGUGUAUGAAGAAGGCCUNAGGGUUNUNAAGUACUUUUGGCGGAGNCGAAAAGGCAUCCCCUAAUACGGGAUGCUGCUGACGGUAUCUGCAGAAUAAGCACCGGCAAACUACGUUGCAGCAGCUGCGGUAAUACGUAGGGUGCAAGCGUUAAUCGGAAUUACUGGGCGUAAAGCGUGUGUAGGCGGUUCGGAAAGAAAGAUGUGAAAUCCCAAGGCUCAACCUUGGAACUGCAUUUUUAACUGCCGAGCUAGAGUAAGUCAGAGGGGGGUAGAAUUCCACGUGUAGCAGUGAAAUUCGUAGAUAUGUGGAGGAAUACCGAUGGCGAAGGCAGCCCCCUGGGAUAAUACUGACGCUCAGACACGAAAGCGUGGGGAGCGAACAGG
Molecule: ribosomal RNA, 424 nt
Filed under: uncultured bacterium
Lineage: Bacteria
Description: partial 16S ribosomal RNA
Rfam family: Bacterial small subunit ribosomal RNA
Source: RNAcentral